Molecule: ribosomal RNA, 510 nt
Filed under: uncultured bacterium
Lineage: Bacteria
Description: partial 16S ribosomal RNA
Rfam family: Bacterial small subunit ribosomal RNA
Source: RNAcentral
GACGAACGCUGGCGGCGUGCUUAACACAUGCAAGUCGAACGAACAGCCAUGGAAGCUUGCUUCUUUCACUUUUCGUGGCGCACGGGUGAGUAACGCGUAAUCAACCUGCCUUUCACUGGGGGACAACCGUUGGAAACGACUGCUUAUACCGCAUUCGAUCUAAUCUCGGCAUCCAGGAUAGAUUAAAGGUUUCCUCUACAUGUAAGCUUUCACUGACGGUGGGUUUUUCGUCUGAUUAGCUAGCUGGAGGGGUAACCGCCCAACAAGGCGAUGAUCAGUAGCCGGGCGGGGGGGAGGAACCGCCAAAAUGGGACGGGGACAAGGCCCAGGCGGCUACGGGGAGCAGCAGGGGGGAAACUUUCGCAAUGGGGGAAAGGCUGACGGAGGAACGCCGGGGGGGGGGUGAAAGCCGUCGGGUUGGAAAGCUCGGUUAAUCGGGAAGAAAGGCCUUCUUGCGAAUAGGGAGAAGGAUUGACGGUACCGGAAUAGAAAGCCACGGCUAACUACGUG